Molecule: long non-coding RNA, 256 nt
Filed under: Setaria viridis
Lineage: Eukaryota; Viridiplantae; Streptophyta; Magnoliopsida; Poales; Poaceae
Description: long non-coding RNA (SVIR_LNC003799)
Source: RNAcentral
GGCACAAUUAGUCCUCGAUUCUUGAAAUUGACACAUGCACAAGCAUUUAGAAGGAGGGGAGAAGGUGAAAUUGAAUCCCAUCAGCAAAUCCCCAAAAUCCUAUGAGAAAUCCUCAAAUUUUAUCCAUCAAGAAACCCUAACCUGAGGAUAAGAGAAACCUACAUCUGGUUCCCACCGACGGCCACCCAUGGCAUGAUGUUGCCGCCACGAGUUGAUGCCGGCACCCUUCUCCGAUGAGCCACAUCGGUUCACGACC